CACGUAGGGUGCGAGCGUUGUCCGGAAUUAUUGGGCGUAAAGAGCUCGUAGGCGGUGUGUCGCGUCGGCCGUGAAAACCUGCAGCUUAACUGUGGGCUUGCGGUCGAUACGGGCAUCACUGGAGUUCGGCAGGGGAGACUGGAAUUCCUGGUGUAGCGGUGAAAUGCGCAGAUAUCAGGAGGAACACCGGUGGCGAAGGCGGCUUGCUGGGCCAGUUCUGACGCUGAGGCGCGAAAGCGUGGGGAGCGAACAGG
This 254-nucleotide ribosomal RNA is filed under the name uncultured bacterium. Its description in RNAcentral is "partial 16S ribosomal RNA". It matches the Rfam family "Bacterial small subunit ribosomal RNA", at positions 524 to 776 of the family's 1533-position model. The record is from RNAcentral.